This 484-nucleotide ribosomal RNA is filed under the name uncultured bacterium. RNAcentral's name for it is "partial 16S ribosomal RNA". It matches the Rfam family "Bacterial small subunit ribosomal RNA", at positions 30 to 507 of the family's 1533-position model. The record is from RNAcentral.
AUUGAACGCUGGCGGCAGGCCUAACACAUGCAAGUCGAGCGGAUGAAGGGAGCUUGCUCCUGGAUCCAGCGGCGGACGGGUGAGUAAUGCCUAGGAAUCUGCCUGGUAGUGGGGGAUAACGUCCGGAAACGGGCGCUGAUACCGCAUACGUCCUGCGCGAGAAAGUGGGGGAUCUUCGGACCUCACGCUCUCAGAUGAGCCUAGGCCGGAUUAGCUAGUUGGUGGGGUAAAGGCCUACCAAGGCGAGGAUCCGUAACUGGACUGAGAGGAUGAUCAGUCACACUGGAACUGAGACACGGUCCAGACUCCUACGGGAGGCAGCAGUGGGGAAUAUUGGGCAAAGGGCGAAAACCUGAUCCAGCCAGGCCGCGUGUGUGAAGAAGAUCUUCGGAUUGUAAAGCACUGUAAGUGGGGAGGAAGGGCAGUAAGUUAGUACCUUGCUGUUUUGAAGUUACCAGCAGAAUAAGCACCGGCUAACUUCGUG